RNAcentral lists this ribosomal RNA (814 nucleotides) under uncultured eukaryote. Its description in RNAcentral is "bacterial SSU rRNA". It matches the Rfam family "Bacterial small subunit ribosomal RNA", at positions 481 to 1325 of the family's 1533-position model. The record is from RNAcentral.
GAGGAAUAAGCAUCGGCUAACUCCGUGCCAGCAGCCGCGGUAAUACGGGGGAUGCAAGCGUUAUCCGGAAUUAUUGGGCGUAAAGCGCCUGAAGGUUGUUUAGCUAAGUCUUUUGUUAAAUACUAGGUCUUAACCCUAGAAAUGCAUUAGAAACUACUAGACUAGAGUAUGGUAGAGGUAGAGGGAAUUUCUAGUGUAGCGGUCAAAUGCGUAGAUAUUAGAAAGAACACCGGUGGCGAAGGCGCUCUACUGGGCCAUUACUGACACUAAUGGGCGAAAGCUAGGGGAGCAAAAGGGAUUUGGUACCCCUGUAGUCCUAGCCGUAAACGAUGGAUACUCGAUCUUGCAUAAAUAAUUUGCAGGACCCAAGCUAACGCGUUAAGUAUCCCGCCUGGAGAGUACGCUCGCAAGGGUGAAAUUCAAAGGAAUUGACGGGGGCCCGCACAAGCGGUGGAGCAUGCGGUUUAAUUCGAUGCAACGCGAAGAACCUUACCAGGGAUUGACAUAAAGAGUAUCCUUUUUGAAAAAAUCGUGUUUCUUUACAGGUGGUGCAUGGCUGUCGUCAGCUCGUGUCGUGAGAUGUUGGGUUAAUUCCCGCAACGAGCGUAACCCUUAUUUUGAGUUAGCUUUUCUAAGAAUACUGCCGGUAACAAACCGGAGGAAGGUGAGGAUGACGUCAAGUCAGCAUGCCCCUAAUGUCCUGGGCUACACGCGUGCUACAAUGGGUAAGACAAUAAGUUGAAUCUCGUAAGAGUAGAUAAUCUAGAAACUUAUCCAAAGUCCGGAUUGUAGGCUGCAACUCGCCUGCAUGAAG